Molecule: ribosomal RNA, 253 nt
Filed under: uncultured bacterium
Lineage: Bacteria
Description: partial 16S ribosomal RNA
Rfam family: Bacterial small subunit ribosomal RNA
Source: RNAcentral
UACGUAGGUGGCAAGCGUUGUCCGGAUUUACUGGGCGUAAAGCGUGCGUAGGCGGUUUGCCGUGUCCUGUGUGAAAGCCCCGGGCUCAACCUGGGAAUUGCAUGGGAAACUGGCAGGCUUGAGUGUGGCAGAGGAGGGUGGAAUUCCGCGUGUAGCAGUGAAAUGCGUAGAGAUGCGGAGGAACACCGAUGGCGAAGGCAGCCCUCUGGGCCAACACUGACGCUCAGGCACGAAAGCGUGGGGAGCAAACAGG